This 246-nucleotide ribosomal RNA is filed under the name uncultured bacterium. RNAcentral's name for it is "partial 16S ribosomal RNA". It matches the Rfam family "Bacterial small subunit ribosomal RNA", at positions 523 to 769 of the family's 1533-position model. The record is from RNAcentral.
AUACGUAGGGGGCGAGCGUUAUCCGGAAUUAUUGGGCGUAAAGAGUACGUAGGUGGUUUCCUAAGCAUGGGGUUUAAGGCAACGGCUUAACCAUUGUUCGCCCCAUGAACUGGGUUACUUGAGUGCUGGAGGGGAAAGCGGAAUUCCUAGUGUAGCGGUGAAAUGCGUAGAUAUUAGGAGGAACACCGGUGGCGAAGGCGGCUUUCUGGACAGUAACUGACACUGAGGUACGAAAGUGUGGGGAGC